GAUGAAGAACGUAGCGAAAUGCGAUAAGUAAUGUGAAUUGCAGAAUUCAGUGAAUCAUCGAAUCUUUGAACGCACAUUGCGCCCGCCAGUAUUCUGGCGGGCAUGCCUGUCCGAGCGUCAUUUCAACCAUCAAGCCUCGUGCUUGUGUUGGGGACCUGCGUCCGACGCAGGCCCUGAAAACCAGUGGCGGGCUCGCUGUCCACACCGAGCGUAGUAACUAACCUCGCUAUGGAGUGGCGCGGGCGCCUGCCGUAAAACCCCCAAUUUCACAAGGUUGACCUCGGAUCAGGUAGGAAUACCCGCUGAACUUAAGCAUAUCAAUAAGCGGAGG
This 331-nucleotide unclassified non-coding RNA is filed under the name soil metagenome. RNAcentral's name for it is "partial contains 5.8S ribosomal RNA, internal transcribed spacer 2, and large subunit ribosomal RNA". The stretch from base 1 to 120 matches the Rfam family "5.8S ribosomal RNA", at positions 35 to 154 of the family's 154-position model. The record is from RNAcentral.